GGUGAGAUGGCCGAGCGGUCUAAGGCGCCAGACUAAGGAUCAGGGCAUUUGAUGUCCUUCACGUUGUUCGCAACAUCUGGUCCUCCGGGGCGUGGGUUCGAAUCCCACUCUCAUCA
Transfer RNA from Laccaria amethystina LaAM-08-1, 116 nucleotides. It matches the Rfam family "tRNA". Rfam says of the family: Transfer RNA (tRNA) molecules are approximately 80 nucleotides in length. The record is from Rfam. NCBI's taxonomy places the organism in Eukaryota, Fungi, Basidiomycota, Agaricomycetes, Agaricales, Hydnangiaceae.